This is a long non-coding RNA of Erpetoichthys calabaricus (reedfish), 242 nucleotides long. RefSeq lists it as uncharacterized. The record is from RefSeq and is a predicted model, not a curated record. NCBI's taxonomy places the organism in Eukaryota, Metazoa, Chordata, Cladistia, Polypteriformes, Polypteridae. The transcript is spliced from 5 exons.
AUCAACAACAUCCAUAAGUUUUACAACAGAUGGAUCUUCUAGCUCAAGCAGUGAUUCCACAACAUCCACAGCUUCUUCAGCUAACGGACCUCCUAGUACAAACACUGAAUCAACGACAUCCAUAAGUUUUACAAAUAACGAACCUUCUAGUACGAACACUGAAUCAACAACAUCCAUAAGUUUUACAACAGAUGGAUCUUCUAACUCAAGCAGUGAUUCUACAACACUCACAGCUUCUUCAG